GAUGAACGCUGGCGGCGUGCCUAAUACAUGCAAGUCGAGCGAACAGACGAGGAGCUUGCUCCUCUGACGUUAGCGGCUGACGGGUGAGUAACACGUGGAUAACCUACCUAUAAGACUGGGAUAACUUCGGGAAACAGGAGCUAAUACCGGAUAAUAUAUUGAACGGCAUGGUUCAAUAGUGCAUGACGGUUUUGCUGUCACUUUGAGAUGAAUCCGCGCCGCAUUAGCUAGUUGGUAAGGUAACGGCUUACCAAGGCAACGAUGCGUAGCCGACCUGAGAGGGUGAUCAGCCACACUGGAACUGAGACACGGUCCAGACUCCUACGGGAGGCAGCAGUAGGGAAUAUUCGGCAAUGGGCGAAAGCCUGACGGAGCAACACCGCGUGAGUGAUGAAGGUCUUCGGGUCGUAAAGCUCUGUUAUUAGGAAAGAAAAGCUGUGUAAGAAUCUAUGCACGUCUUGACGGUACCUAAUCAGAAAGCCCCGGCUAACUACGUG
This 497-nucleotide ribosomal RNA is filed under the name uncultured bacterium. Its description in RNAcentral is "partial 16S ribosomal RNA". It matches the Rfam family "Bacterial small subunit ribosomal RNA", at positions 28 to 507 of the family's 1533-position model. The record is from RNAcentral.